CGGCGGACGGGUGAGUAACGCGUGGGUAACCUGCCUCAUACAGGGGGAUAACAGUUAGAAAUGACUGCUAAUACCGCAUAAGACCACGGUACCGCAUGGUACAGUGGUAAAAACUCCGGUGGUAUGAGAUGGACCCGCGUCUGAUUAGGUAGUUGGUGGGGUAACGGCCCACCAAGCCGACGAUCAGUAGCCGACCUGAGAGGGUGACCGGCCACAUUGGGACUGAGACACGGCCCAA
Molecule: ribosomal RNA, 238 nt
Filed under: uncultured bacterium
Lineage: Bacteria
Description: partial 16S ribosomal RNA
Rfam family: Bacterial small subunit ribosomal RNA
Source: RNAcentral